RNAcentral lists this ribosomal RNA (582 nucleotides) under Salmonella enterica subsp. enterica serovar Haifa. RNAcentral's name for it is "partial 23S ribosomal RNA". It matches the Rfam family "Bacterial large subunit ribosomal RNA", at positions 1 to 613 of the family's 2925-position model. Lineage: Bacteria; Pseudomonadati; Pseudomonadota; Gammaproteobacteria; Enterobacterales; Enterobacteriaceae. The record is from RNAcentral.
GGGUUGUGAGGUUAAGCGACUAAGCGUACACGGUGGAUGCCCUGGCAGUCAGAGGCGAUGAAGGACGUGCUAAUCUGCGAUAAGCGCCGGUAAGGUGAUAUGAACCGUUAUAACCGGCGAUUUCCGAAUGGGGAAACCCAGUGUGACUCGUCACACUAUCAUUAACUGAAUCCAUAGGUUAAUGAGGCGAACCGGGGGAACUGAAACAUCUAAGUACCCCGAGGAAAAGAAAUCAACCGAGAUUCCCCCAGUAGCGGCGAGCGAACGGGGAGGAGCCCAGAGCCUGAAUCAGCAUGUGUGUUAGUGGAAGCGUCUGGAAAGGCGCGCGAUACAGGGUGACAGCCCCGUACACAAAAGCGCAUGUGCUGUGAGCUCGAUGAGUAGGGCGGGACACGUGGUAUCCUGUCUGAAUAUGGGGGGACCAUCCUCCAAGGCUAAAUACUCCUGACUGACCGAUAGUGAACCAGUACCGUGAGGGAAAGGCGAAAAGAACCCCGGCGAGGGGAGUGAAAAAGAACCUGAAACCGUGUACGUACAAGCAGUGGGAGCCUCUUUUAUGGGGUGACUGCGUACCUUUUGUAU